UACGAAGGUCCCAAGCGUUGUUCGGAUUCACUGGGCGUAAAGGGUGCGUAGGUGGUUGGGUAAGUCUGAUGUGAAAUCUCCGAGCUUAACUCGGAAACUGCAUCGGAUACUAUUCGGCUCGAGGGUUGGAGGGGGGACUGGAAUACUUGGUGUAGCAGUGAAAUGCGUAGAUAUCAAGUGGAACACCAGUGGCGAAGGCGAGUCCCUGGACAACUCCUGACACUGAGGCACGAAAGCUAGGGGAGCAAACAGG
RNAcentral lists this ribosomal RNA (253 nucleotides) under uncultured bacterium. Its description in RNAcentral is "partial 16S ribosomal RNA". It matches the Rfam family "Bacterial small subunit ribosomal RNA", at positions 524 to 776 of the family's 1533-position model. The record is from RNAcentral.